GGGUUGUGAGGUUAAGCGACUAAGCGUACACGGUGGAUGCUCUGGCAGUCAGAGGCGAUGAAGGACGUGCUAAUCUGCGAAAAGCGUCGGUAAGGUGAUAUGAACCGUUACAGCCGGCGAUGUCCGAAUGGGGAAACCCAGUGUGAUUCGUCACACUAUCGUUAACUGAAUACAUAGGUU
Molecule: ribosomal RNA, 180 nt
Filed under: Klebsiella pneumoniae
Lineage: Bacteria; Pseudomonadati; Pseudomonadota; Gammaproteobacteria; Enterobacterales; Enterobacteriaceae
Description: partial 23S ribosomal RNA
Rfam family: Bacterial large subunit ribosomal RNA
Source: RNAcentral